Molecule: ribosomal RNA, 305 nt
Filed under: uncultured bacterium
Lineage: Bacteria
Description: bacterial SSU rRNA
Rfam family: Bacterial small subunit ribosomal RNA
Source: RNAcentral
CUACCUACGGGGGGCGCAGUGGGGGAUAUUGGACAAUGGGGGGAACCCUGAUCCAGCGACGCCGCGUGAGUGAAGAAGUAUUUCGGUAUGUAAAGCUCUGUCAGCAGGGAAGAAAGCAAUGACGGUACCUGACCAAGAAGCCCCGGCUAACUACGUGCCAGCAGCCGCGGUAAUACGUAGGGGGCAAGCGUUAUCCGGAAUUACUGGGUGUAAAGGGAGCGUAGACGGCUGUGCAAGUCUGGAGUGAAAGUCCGGGGCUCAACCCCGGGACUGCAUUGGAAACUGUCCGGCUAGAGUGCAGGAGG